ACUCUGAAUUACCUGAUAAACUGUGCCAUCACCCAACUGAACACUGGUAAAAAACUUUGUGCUAGCUGCUACAGAAAGUGCCCAUGGUGCAUUUUUAGAUAUUGUAUAAAACUCUGGACCUCUAUUACCAGCUGAAGUAGAUGUUAAUAUGCCUUUUUUCAUAGCAUGGAAACUCCAGAUCGCAUAUAUAUCAUUGAAAUAGUCGUUGUGUUCUACGAUUCUUGGUCCUGAUGAAAUGGAAAUGAUGUCAACACCAUCUUCAAUGGCUUCAUCAAAUGCUUGAAGGAUGUCUGCAUCGUCACAACCAGAUGACCGACAAGAAUAAUUCCCCCCAUUCCUUCAGCAUAAUCUAAAUUUCUCCCCCAAACCCUAAUUCUCCCUCCCCACUGCCUUCAAUCUCCCAAACCCCUUUCAUUCCUUCAAUAUAAUUUGAACUUCAAACAAUUUCUUCAAAACAUAUCAGUGGUUCUCCGCAUCACAAUCUUCAAACAAUUUUCGUGUUGAUUCCCCACAUCCGUGUGGCUUCGUGUUGGUUCCUUGCUUGGAAACGAGGCAUUCGUCGAGAUAUCUUAUUGUAGAAAGAACACAACACUCUUAACAAGGUUCCGAUCAAUUUCGUGUGUUUUAUGUUUUUGUUUGUUUUUUUUUUCUCUCUAACCUCAGUGCAUGUGUUGCGCUGAAAGAAAUAGAGGUGGAGUGUGAGUUUUUGAAGAGGUUCUGCGAGAAUCUGACGGAGGAGAACGAGAGGUUGCAGAAGGAAGUGCAAGAGCUCAGUGUGGAAAGAGGUCCCUGCUGCAGAGGGCCAUGCUCAGCAAAAGCUCCAACUCCAACAGAAGAACAGCCAGGCCCUUCAAAACCCAAAUAGCAUAUUAAACCGCUUCUUCCACUGAAUCUAAAGGGUUUGGUUAAGAUUCCAAAACCAAAGAAAAAAAAAAGAAAAAAAGAAGAAAUUUUGUCAUAUACACUACAGCAUAUACCAAUACCUCCAUUUAACCAUAGAACUAGUGGCUUUGAAGCCGGUUCCACUUCUGCUUCAACAAAGUAGUAAAACAAAGCUCUCUUCUGCUUCUCAUCCACAGUAAUGUAACCUGCAUAUUGCUGGAAUUUGACUGGUGGCUGCCCUGGCAAAGUGCUUAUCUUAUCAGCUUGUGAAACUGAAUUCACUCCCACAACACUUUGAGCUAUAACAAAUAACAGUGAUGCUGCAAUCAUAACAAAUGACUGAGACAUCAUAGUAAGAUCUGAGAAGGGGUUGUUGGUUUGAGGACAGUUCUCUGUGUGUGUUCUUUGAAGGUUGAAGGCAGAGUAAGGAAUAUAGUAAGGGCCUAUGUGAGUAUGAUUAUUAUAGUACUGUGGUAUGUGUUAGUGUGCAUGUUGGGUCCAUGACUCUGAAACAAGUUUUGGUGGUGACCCCAAUGUCUUGAAUCUUGGAGCUUCAUUAUGUUAUAAAAACGUGUUGUUACACUAAUAUUGCAAAAUAUUUAGUGUUGCUUUUUUACUGUGCACUUUCCGCAAGACUCGAUGGAACGUUGCUCUGCAAGUCUCGUGCUUCCAUCAAAUGCGGAAGAUUCGCAAGCCUCCAACGUUUACUUCCCGCAAGUCUCCAAUGUUUAAGUGAGAAUUCAGAUGAAAUAUGAAACCCUAGCUUUCAUAUAUAUGCAAGUUCUUCUUAAGGGUAUAUUUAUAGGGAAGAAUUUGAUCUUGUAAAGACUUGGUCCUAGUAGUCACUUUACACACAUUAAUUGAGAAUGCUUACACAAACAUGCACUUGGAUGAAAUUUUCCUAACUUUUUUCUUCUUUUCUUCCUAUUUAGUUUUCGGUCACAACAAUCACUUAUAAGACAUUUAAGAGGGAAUACUAAUACAAAGAUGCAAUGGAAUUAUAGUUUUCUCUAUCCAUUAGGGUUUACACCUAAUAAAGAUGUUGGUAAAUAUUUAAGAAGGAAAAAUACUUUACUAUGAUAAAUUUAUCACUCUUUCGAUUUUAAGUUAUCACAUUUUGUUUUUUUGGACAAAGUCUUAAUGCAGUUUUUAAAACAUAAAAUUGAAAAAAAUAUUGUGAU
This is a long non-coding RNA of Vigna radiata var. radiata (mung bean), 2063 nucleotides long. RefSeq lists it as uncharacterized. The transcript is spliced from 3 exons. Lineage: Eukaryota; Viridiplantae; Streptophyta; Magnoliopsida; Fabales; Fabaceae. The record is from RefSeq and is a predicted model, not a curated record.